UCGCCCAUCCCUACUGCUGCAGUCAUUAGCGGGCGGUAUAUGAACUGCGGCUGCUACUGAUGCAUAAGUGCGCAUUGCGCAACAAUUAACGUGCACACAACAUAAUCCCAGAACAUGGCUUUAAAGAAGGAUCUCUUGCGAGACAUCCAGAAGCGUUUUAACAGCCUGAAAGUUGAAGAGGAUAAAGAAGAGACAGUAAUUCUGAGAGAACGUGAGGACAGUAUUGACAUCCGAUGUACAGGCUUUCCUGAUUUCUCAGAGGACUUCCGUCAGAUUGUUAAAGCUGGCUGGCUAGAGAAAACUCCUCCAAAAGGGUAAGAAACAACUUAUAUACAAUUUAUAUAUCUUCUACGACUUUUCUGACAU
This is a long non-coding RNA of Sinocyclocheilus anshuiensis, 366 nucleotides long. NCBI's taxonomy places the organism in Eukaryota, Metazoa, Chordata, Actinopteri, Cypriniformes, Cyprinidae. The record is from Ensembl.